GGGGACAAGUCCUUCCACCGAGGCCGGGUCCCCGCGCCUUCCCUAGCGCCCUGCCUCUCUUUGGCCGCGCUCGCAGGACCGCCUGUAGGAGAGUGAAGCCCCAGGGUUUCCUUGCUGAUGGAGUCCCCCACCUUCCCCAGCCUUCCUGUUCCCGGGCUGGUUACGGCGGCGAAGGGAGACCUUGCCUCUCCCCAGCCUUGGAAGCAGAGGGCUGGAGGUGGCCUUAUGUCCACUGCCUGCGACUCUGGACUUGAAGGGAAGAAGUAAUCGAUCAUGAUGACCGUGAAAGAAACACGUCUCCCUUCAUCCCAGGACCCCUGGUGGACACUGGGUGGUUUAGCAUCCGGACUAUGGAGAUGCUUUGGAGGUGUUGGCAGGACUACGGUUGAGCCCUUAUUUGAUAUUUACCGAUUGAGAAAGAACCAAGAUUAAGAGGCCUGGAACUCAUCAGGGGUAUUUUAUUUAUCCUGCCUUUUCCUCAUUUCCUCUCCUGCUGUCAUGCUUGUUUAUUGAGCACCUACUGUUUAUGGGAAGAAAAGAUAAUAGACAAGAUACUUGACCUCAAACCCAUGAAAAUUUAAUAGUUACAUGUCAUCAUCCUCGGGCCAGCAGCGGUAUGUGUUCUGGUCUUGCUUCCUGGACCACCCAGAAGAGACUUUAUAGCCCCAGCCAUCAGGGGUAUAGUGUGUGCCCAGUGUGUUUUCUAUCCCUGGCUUCCAAAAAGUCCUGGAAGAAAGAAUAGGUGUGACCAGAAAGUCCUUCACCUCCGGAAUCUAAGUGGAUAUGAGUUUCGCUCCUUGUUGCCCAGGCUGCAGUGCAGUGGCGUGAUCUUGGCUCACUGCAACCUCCGCCUCCUGGGCUCAAGUGCUUCUUCUGCCUCAGCCUCCUGAGUAAUUGGGAUUACAGGCAAGGAAUCAAGGCUUCUAGACACCACCGGAUGAGUCAAGGUACCGUGGCCCAGACAAACUAAGCACUGGUUCUGUCACCACAUAGACACAAAGGCAUUCAAGAAACCACAGCCCUCUGGCUUUGUUGCUCCUUCCUUCAUAAUCAAAUCAACAGAGUGUGUUUGUAGAAUUCACCCACAACACAAACAGAUGCCGCGAAACACCUUGGAGCGGUUGGCCGGCAGAAAUGCCCACUGAGCGGGCUGUGAUUCACUCGGGAGGAGGAAGGCCUCGGAGGGCAGCCAAUCGAAGACGGACCCAGGGAAAAGUCGCUGGGUUCUUACAGGAAGCGAUCUAAUUAUGUUACUGUAAUCCUCAAGCUCGCAUUUUUCAGCCACCUCAACACGAACUCACAGACUUCAACGAUUAUGUAAUUACGGAAAACUUCACAACAAACAUGAAGAUUCCUUCUGGAGGCCACAUUGAAGACCGGGAUGUGCAUUAGAGCGUGGGAGGGAAGCACGCAGCUCACAAAAGGAAGAGCAAAGAGAUGUAUUGAACUUAAAAGGUUACAUUUGAAAAGGGGCCCCUACCAGACCUCCCCUUUUGUGUGCACAUUUUUUGCACCUGCAACUGUUUGCGGGCUCGAAAGCAAUAGCCCUCCCCCUUCUCCCAAGAGGCCACGCUUUCAUGCCUUGGCCCCAAAUGUGUCAUUUUCCUGCCAGGGGGAGAAAUCAAAAGAAACCAAGUUUUUAGAACUUUGCUGUAAAGAAAAUAAUAGUUUUGAAAAGGAUUGGAGCCACAUUUUCAGGUUAGACACAGUUGUUAGAGAAAUGUCAGAAGGAAAACGUUCCUCUUCACUUUCUUUCCUAGCUCGUUGAAGUUCUUCAUUUCACUGGGUUCUGGGUGACAUCUGUAGCAUCCAUUUCAGCGCAGUCUGCAGCAGGCUUUUGACUCCACAGCAUGUAACUGUCCUCAGACCACCGUGUUCAAAGUCGAGAUUCCAAAUGGACCUUCCUGACUCUUCACAGAGAAGAUGCCAUAUAAAUCAUUUCCAUUAAAACAAACCUUUGAUACCACCAGCGAAUUGUGGAAUUUUGAUAAUGAUGCUUGUGAAUGAAGUGCUGACAAAUGGUCUUGCUUUAGAUGGUGUUUGUGGGUGGGGCUUGGGUUAGAGCCAGGAUCAACCUUGAUUUUGGCCACUGAUCCAUUUCCUCUCUCCCCACCACCCACCUCAUAUGUUGAGAUGAAAGUUACAGCAGAAAGCCUCUUUUGAACCAUUAUGAACAAUUCUAUUCAAAGCAGCAUCUGUGAAUUUUUAUAAGACUGGCCAAGAUUGGCUCAAUUAUUUCUCCAUUCUCUCCAGGGGAUAGAAAGUUUCCAAUCAAGGGUUACAAUGGAAGCAAAAAUGUUAUGUUCAUGGGAGGUAGAAUGCAUUGCUAAAUAGAUGGAAGACAAAAUAA
Homo sapiens (human) is the source of this 2350-nucleotide long non-coding RNA. NCBI's taxonomy places the organism in Eukaryota, Metazoa, Chordata, Mammalia, Primates, Hominidae. The record is from Ensembl.